UACGUAGGUGGCAAGCGUUGUCCGGAUUUACUGGGCGUAAAGAGCGCGCAGGCGGUCGAAUAAGUCGAAUGUGAAAGCCCCCGGCUUAACUGGGGAGGGUCAUUCGAUACUGCUCGACUUGAAGGCAGGAGAGGGAAGUGGAAUUCCCGGUGUAGUGGUGAAAUGCGUAGAUAUCGGGAGGAACACCAGUGGCGAAGGCGACUUCCUGGCCUGUUCUUGACGCUGAGGCGCGAAAGCUGGGGGAGCAAACGGG
This 253-nucleotide ribosomal RNA is filed under the name uncultured bacterium. RNAcentral's name for it is "partial 16S ribosomal RNA". It matches the Rfam family "Bacterial small subunit ribosomal RNA", at positions 524 to 776 of the family's 1533-position model. The record is from RNAcentral.